This is a non-coding RNA of Sus scrofa (pig), 940 nucleotides long. The record is from RefSeq and is a predicted model, not a curated record. NCBI's taxonomy places the organism in Eukaryota, Metazoa, Chordata, Mammalia, Artiodactyla, Suidae.
ACAUAGUUCAAUUGAGAAUCAAUCUCUGGGUGAGCCCGCUUGACUAGAUAUCAGAGGUGAAGGCUGUUGACAGCAUGCUUUCUCUUGAUUGACCGAAGCUGGAAAAGAAAAAGAGGUGGUUAGUUCUGGUCCUUAUUCCUGUCACUGACUUCCAUGCAGUAUUCCUUAUGAUAAAGCCAGAAACAACUCCAAGAAAAUUAAGGUGGCUACAUAGAACCUCAGCUAAAAAAGAUUUCCAGAGCUAUCAAAAAUAUCUUAUAUUGAAACAGUGGAUUCAGUCUUAGGAGGAAGAGCUGAAGCCUGGAUUCAUCCUGUAUCUGUGGGCCUGAGCAAGACCAUCCCUGAGUAGGACAGCUAGCCACCCACUAGCUCAUUCUGCCAGCCUGGAGGACCCAGCCCAUGUGUCCUACACACCAGGUAUGUCAAUGCUCUUAGUCUUCCACCUUCUCAGAACUAGGGGGAUGUGCAUGAAUGUAAUUUGAAAUUGUGAAGCACCAUACAAAGGAAAAAAGCUGCCAUCUUCCCCUGGACAUAGAUGAGAGGUAAGUGAGUCAUCUCUGAGAAUUUUCUCCUUAACUCAAACUCUUAAACUAAAUUUUAAUGAAGUUGGACUCAAAUUUUUGAAUCAUAUUUUUAACACCACAUUCUUUUACCACUGAGUUUAUUAUGUGUUGGUUCUUCUUAUUCAAACCUUUAUUUUUAAAAAAAUCUCAGUAAUCUGAUGAAUCUCUAAAAUAUGAAGAAAAAAUAAGUGUAGUAUUGGACAAAAUUUAAUAAUGUGUAAAUAACCAGGAAAAAAAUUGUAGGAAAAACAUAAUUACUUGGUUGUAAGGUAUAAAAAAUCCGAGUAUAACCAGGGACAAUAAGGGAGAAUUUAUGAUUCUUACAAAGUCAGAUACAAUGAUUUUGAUAAAGAAAUUUGAAAUGGGAGUUCCCGUCG